GAUGAACGCUGGCGGCGUGCCUAAUACAUGCAAGUCGAACGAAACUUCUUUAUCACCGAGUGCUUGCACUCACCGAUAAAGAGUUGAGUGGCGAACGGGUGAGUAACACGUGGGCAACCUGCCCAAAAGAGGGGGAUAACACUAGGAAACAGGUGCUAAUACCGCAUAACCAUAGUUACCGCAUGGUAACUAUGUAAAAGGUGGCUAUACUACCGCUUUUGGAUGGGCCCGCGGCGCAUUAGCUAGUUGGUAGGGUAAAGGCUUACCAAGGCAAUGAUGCGUAGCCGAAUUGAGAGGUUGAUCGGCCACAUUGGAACUGAGACACGGCCCAAACUCCUACGGGAGGCAGCAGUAGGGAAUCUUCCACAAUGGGCGAAAGCCUGAUGGAGCAACGCCGCGUGGGUGAAGAAGGUCUUCGGAUCGUAAAACCCUGUUGUUAGAGAAGAAAGUGCGUGAGAGUAACUGUUCACGUUUCGACGGUAUCUAACCAGAAAGCCACGGCUAACUACGUG
Molecule: ribosomal RNA, 512 nt
Filed under: uncultured bacterium
Lineage: Bacteria
Description: partial 16S ribosomal RNA
Rfam family: Bacterial small subunit ribosomal RNA
Source: RNAcentral